Molecule: transfer RNA, 73 nt
Organism: Ovis aries (sheep)
Lineage: Eukaryota; Metazoa; Chordata; Mammalia; Artiodactyla; Bovidae
Rfam family: tRNA
About the family: Transfer RNA (tRNA) molecules are approximately 80 nucleotides in length. Their secondary structure includes four short double-helical elements and three loops (D, anti-codon, and T loops).
Source: Rfam
UUCCUGGUGGUCCACUGGUUAAGACUCUGUGCUCCUGAUGCAGAGAGCCCAGGUUUGAUUCCUGGCUGGGGAA